This 449-nucleotide ribosomal RNA is filed under the name uncultured bacterium. RNAcentral's name for it is "bacterial SSU rRNA". It matches the Rfam family "Bacterial small subunit ribosomal RNA", at positions 355 to 825 of the family's 1533-position model. The record is from RNAcentral.
UCAAGAAACUUCCACAAUGGGCGAAAGCCUGAUGGAGCGACGUCGCGUGAUGGACGAAGUGCUUCGGCACGUAAACAUCUUUUAUGUGGGAUGAAAUUAUUGACAGUACCACAUGAAUAAGGGGCUCCUAACUCUGUGCCAGCAGGAGCGGUAAUACAGAGGCCCCAAGCGUUAUCCGGAAUCACUGGGCGUAAAGGGUGUCGAGGCGGUUGUAUUAGUCGUUCGUAAAAUCUACGAGCUUAACUUGUAGGCGGCGAACGAAACGGUACGACUUGAGGUUUGGAGAGGUGCGUGGAACUCACGGUGUAGGGUGAAAUCCGUUGAUAUCGUGGGGAACACCAAAGGCGAAGGCAGCGCACUGGCCAAAAUCUGACGCUCACACACGAAAGCUAGGGUAGCGAAGAGGAUUAGAUACCCUCGUAGUCCCUGAGCGGGCUGGCAAGGCGCAU